Molecule: ribosomal RNA, 549 nt
Filed under: uncultured Glomus
Lineage: Eukaryota; Fungi; Glomeromycota; Glomeromycetes; Glomerales; Glomeraceae
Description: SSU rRNA
Rfam family: Eukaryotic small subunit ribosomal RNA
Source: RNAcentral
UUGGAGGGCAAGUCUGGUGCCAGCAGCCGCGGUAAUUCCAGCUCCAAUAGCGUAUAUUAAAGUUGUUGCAGUUAAAAAGCUCGUAGUUGAAUUUCGGGGUCAGCAGGUUGGUCGUGCCAAUGGUAUGCACUGGCCUUGCUGAUUCCUCCCUCUUGAUGAGCCGUAAUGCCAUUAAUUUGGUGUUGCGGGGAAUCAGGACUGUUACUUUGAAAAAAUUAGAGUGUUUAAAGCAGGCAAGCGCUUGAAUACAUUAGCAUGGAAUAAUGAAAUAGGACGUUUAAUCCUAUUUUGUUGGUUUCUAGGAUUGACGUAAUGAUUAAUAGGGAUAGUUGGGGGCAUUAGUAUUCAAUUGUCAGAGGUGAAAUUCUUGGAUUUAUUGAAGACUAACUACUGCGAAAGCAUUUGCCAAGGAUGUUUUCAUUAAUCAAGAACGAAAGUUAGGGGAUCGAAGACGAUCAGAUACCGUCGUAUUCUUAACCAUAAACUAUGCCGACUAAGGAUCGGAUGAUGUUAAUUUUUUAAUGACUCAUUCGGCGCCUUACGAGAAAC